CAGAGGGCGCGAGCGUUGUCCGGAAUCACUGGGCGUAAAGGGCGCGUAGGUGGCCACCAUAAGGCCGCGGUGAAAGUCUGGGGCUCAACCCCGGAUCGGCCGCGGCGACUGUGGGGCUGGGGGUACCGUAGAGGCAGGUGGAAUUCCGGGUGUAGCGGUGGAAUGCGUAGAGAUCCGGAAGAACACCAGUGGCGAAGGCGGCCUGCUGGGCGGUGGGACCGAAAGGUCUCCUUGACCGACACUGAGGCGCGACAGCGUGGGGAGCAAACAGGAUUAGAUACCCUGGUAGUCCACGCCGUAAACGAUGGGCACUAGGUGCUCCGGGGAGCGACCCUUGGAGUACCGGCGCUAACGCAUGAAGUGCCCCGCCUGGGGAGUACGGCCGCAAGGCUG
This 393-nucleotide ribosomal RNA is filed under the name uncultured organism. RNAcentral describes it as "bacterial SSU rRNA". It matches the Rfam family "Bacterial small subunit ribosomal RNA", at positions 526 to 896 of the family's 1533-position model. The record is from RNAcentral.